ACACCUCAACUCUCAUGGCUUGCCAUGAUGAGCUUGGACUUUGGGGGUCUUGCUGGCCUGGGGUCGGCUCCUCUCAAAUCAAUUAGCUUGCCAGUGUUUGGUGGCAUCACAGGUGUGAUAACUAUCUACGCUUGUGGUUUUCCACUGGGUAACCUUCUGCAAUGAAGGUUCGCUGGGGCUCAUAAAUGUCUCUCCUCGGCGAGGACAGCUCUCUGAAC
Molecule: unclassified non-coding RNA, 218 nt
Filed under: uncultured Thelephoraceae
Lineage: Eukaryota; Fungi; Basidiomycota; Agaricomycetes; Thelephorales; Thelephoraceae
Description: sequence contains ITS2
Source: RNAcentral